Molecule: long non-coding RNA, 606 nt
Filed under: Phoenix dactylifera (date palm)
Lineage: Eukaryota; Viridiplantae; Streptophyta; Magnoliopsida; Arecales; Arecaceae
Description: long non-coding RNA (PDAC_LNC014484)
Source: RNAcentral
AGGCGGGAUGAGAGUUUUGGGGGAAAAAAGUGUGAUUUAAAUGGGGGUAUUUUGGUCCAAAAAACAGCUUUCCGACAAAGCUGAAAACAGCGUUUUCAGAAAGCUCCAAAUUGGAGCUUCUCCCCAAAAGCUGUUUUUAGCUUCCCGCAAAAGCUGAAACAGUUUUUCGAAAAUUUUACCAAACACCAUUUUUUAUCUAAAAGUACUUUUGAAGGGUCAGAAAGUACUUUUUGGCCCUCCAAAAGCUCCACCAAAGGUCCUGUUUGGGGGAGCUGUAGGUAGUAGAGCUUUUGAAAGUAGAGCUGUUGGAAGUAGAGCUGUCUGAAGCAGAGCGUUUAUAAAAAGCUGUUUGCUGUUUGGUAACUACAUUUCUAAAGUGCUGUGACACUUUAACAUAUGUUUGGUAAAUAAACUAAGAAAGUACUUUUGUGUGACAAAAUGACUAUAAAGGAUAUUAGCAGUAUUAUACAACAGAGCAUAAUAAAAUAUAAUAUGUAUUAAUACAUAAAUAUAUGAUAUAGUAUAAUAUUAAUGUAAUGUAAUAUAAUAUUAUUAUAAUAUAGUACUAUAACAUUAUGUAUUAUAGAAUAAUAACAUAACAUAUCA